This 89-nucleotide transfer RNA is filed under the name Acholeplasmatales bacterium. RNAcentral's name for it is "tRNA-Ser". It matches the Rfam family "tRNA". From Rfam's summary of the family: Transfer RNA (tRNA) molecules are approximately 80 nucleotides in length. Their secondary structure includes four short double-helical elements and three loops (D, anti-codon, and T loops). The record is from RNAcentral. Lineage: Bacteria; Bacillati; Mycoplasmatota; Mollicutes; Acholeplasmatales.
GGAACAAUACUCAAGAGGCUAAAGAGGCUGGUUUCGAAAACCAGUAGUGGCUAAUACCUGCAGGAGUUCGAAUCUCCUUUGUUCCGCCA